This 253-nucleotide ribosomal RNA is filed under the name uncultured bacterium. RNAcentral describes it as "partial 16S ribosomal RNA". It matches the Rfam family "Archaeal small subunit ribosomal RNA", at positions 474 to 727 of the family's 1478-position model. The record is from RNAcentral.
UACCAGCACCCCGAGUGGUCGGGACGAUUAUUGGGCCUAAAGCAUCCGUAGCCGGUUCUACAAGUCUUCCGUUAAAUCCACCUGCUUAACAGAUGGGCUGCGGAGGAUACUAUAGAGCUAGGAGGCGGGAGAGGCAAGCGGUACUUAGUGGGUAGGGGUAAAAUCCGUUGAUCCAUUGAAGACCACCAGUGGCGAAGGCGGGUCUCUGGGCAUCUCCUGACGCUGAGGCGCGAAAGCGUGGGGAGCAAACGGG